Molecule: long non-coding RNA, 607 nt
Organism: Scleropages formosus (Asian bonytongue)
Lineage: Eukaryota; Metazoa; Chordata; Actinopteri; Osteoglossiformes; Osteoglossidae
Exons: 6
Source: RefSeq, a predicted model, not a curated record
CAGUGGAGCAGCAUUGCGGAGCUGCACGGUGAUCGCUGGCGAGUGUCUUUCACUAUGGGAGUGUGUGAGCUAACCGCUGAGACUAGAGGCUCCUUUUCAUUUCCCUCUGAAGUAUGGGCGUUUGGGCACAACGUGUUGACCUAGUAGACCUAGUAACGUCCAGCAGUGAUCUGCAAGCAGAUGAAGACCAGCAGAGAAGUUAUUGCUGCUUACCUGUCAGUCUUAUAGUAAAUGGCUGAUUUAAGGAGAUACAGGCUGAGAUCAAGGAUGAAGCUCUGAAACUUUCUGGAGUUUGUUUUACACUUUGUGACAACAAAAACCAGUAGAGUGGAGCAAAGCAUCGCACCAGAGGACUGACUGCCGCUGCUUGUUCAACAGGGAUGCGGUGGAAACAAAAUGGCAUGAAAAUUUCUGGUUUAAUUGAAGACUUACAAAAUUACAGUGGUACUCCUUGAGUUUGUCAGACUAAUACAAAAUUUUCUUCAGUCAGUACACUCAGUUUAGAAUGCAUUUAGUAGUAGUUGUAUUUUGUUACCCGGGUGGCGGCGGCGCAGUGGGUUGGACCACAGUCCUGCUCUCCGGUAGGUCUGGGGUUCGAGUCCCACUU